Molecule: transfer RNA, 67 nt
Filed under: Listeria monocytogenes
Lineage: Bacteria; Bacillati; Bacillota; Bacilli; Caryophanales; Listeriaceae
Description: tRNA-Gly
Rfam family: tRNA
About the family: Transfer RNA (tRNA) molecules are approximately 80 nucleotides in length.
Source: RNAcentral
GAAGUAGUUCAGUGGUAGAACAUCACCUUGCCAAGGUGGGGGUCGCGGGUUCGAACCCCGUCUUCCG